CGAGUCUUAACUGGGCGUUAAGUUGCAGGGUAUAGACCCGAAACCCGGUGAUCUAGCCAUGGGCAGGUUGAAGGUUGGGUAACACUAACUGGAGGACCGAACCGACUAAUGUUGAAAAAUUAGCGGAUGACUUGUGGCUGGGGGUGAAAGGCCAAUCAAACCGGGAGAUAGCUGGUUCUCCCCGAAAGCUAUUUAGGUAGCGCCUCGUGAAUUCAUCUUCGGGGGUAGAGCACUGUUUCGGCUAGGGGGUCAUCCCGACUUACCAACCCGAUGCAAACUGCGAAUACCGAAGAAUGUUAUCACGGGAGACACACGGCGGGUGCUAACGUCCGUCGUGAAGAGGGAAACAACCCAGACCGCCAGCUAAGGUCCCAAAGUCAUGGUUAAGUGGGAAACGAUGUGGGAAGGCUCAGACAGCCAGGAUGUUGGCUUAGAAGCAGCCAUCAUUUAAAGAAAGCGUAAUAGCUCACUGGUCGAGUCGGCCUGCGCGGAAGAUGUAACGGGGCUAAACCAU
This 514-nucleotide ribosomal RNA is filed under the name Citrobacter farmeri. Its description in RNAcentral is "partial 23S ribosomal RNA". It matches the Rfam family "Bacterial large subunit ribosomal RNA", at positions 678 to 1190 of the family's 2925-position model. The record is from RNAcentral. Lineage: Bacteria; Pseudomonadati; Pseudomonadota; Gammaproteobacteria; Enterobacterales; Enterobacteriaceae.